RNAcentral lists this ribosomal RNA (426 nucleotides) under marine sediment bacterium BB0608_AND_1.2_2G0. RNAcentral describes it as "bacterial SSU rRNA". It matches the Rfam family "Bacterial small subunit ribosomal RNA", at positions 104 to 526 of the family's 1533-position model. The record is from RNAcentral.
GGGUGAGUAAUACAUCAGAACGUGCCCAGUAAUGGGGGAUAGCUCGGCGAAAGCCGGAUUAAUACCGCAUACACCCUGAGGGGGAAAGUGGGGGACCGCAAGGCCUCACGUUAUUGGAGCGGCCGAUGGCUGAUUAUCUAGUUGGUAGGGUAAAGGCCUACCAAGGCGACGAUCAGUAGCUGGUCUGAGAGGACGAUCAGCCACACUGGGACUGAGACACGGCCCAGACUCCUACGGGAGGCAGCACUGGGGAAUUUUGGACAAUGGGGGAAACCCUGAUCCAGCAAUGCCGCGUGUGCGAACAAUGCCUUCGGGUUGUAAAGCACUUUUGUCAGGGAAGAAAUCCUUUGGGCUAAUACCCUAGGGGGAUGACGGUACCUGAAGAAUAAACACCGGCUAACUACGUGCCACCAGCCGCGGUAAUAC